UUAAGUUAUUAAGGGCGCACGGUGGAUGCCUUGGCACUAGAAGCCGAUGAAGGACGUUACUAACGACGAUAUGCUUUGGGGAGCUGUAAGUAAGCUUUGAUCCAGAGAUUUCCGAAUGGGGAAACCCAGCAUGAGUUAUGUCAUGUUAUCGAUAUGUGAAUACAUAGCAUAUCAGAAGGCACACCCGGAGAACUGAAACAUCUUAGUACCCGGAGGAAGAGAAAGAAAAUUCGAUUCCCUUAGUAGCGGCGAGCGAAAUGGGAAGAGCCCAAACCAACAAGCUUGCUUGUUGGGGUUGUAGGACACUCUAUACGGAGUUACAAAGGACGACAUUAGACGAAUCAUCUGGAAAGAUGAAUCAAAGAAGGUAAUAAUCCUGUAGUCGAAAAUGUUGUCUCUCUUGAGUGGAUCCUGAGUACGACGGAGCACGUGAAAUUCCGUCGGAAUCUGGGAGGACCAUCUCCUAAGGCUAAAUACUCUCUAGUGACCGAUAGUGAACCAGUACCGUGAGGGAAAGGUGAAAAGCACCCCGGAAGGGGAGUGAAAUAGAACCUGAAACCGUGUGCUUACAAGUAGUCAGAGCCCGUUAAUGGGUGAUGGCGUGCCUUUUGUAGAAUGAACCGGCGAGUUACGAUUUGAUGCAAGGUU
This 648-nucleotide ribosomal RNA is filed under the name Staphylococcus aureus 1801-1 2010. Its description in RNAcentral is "bacterial LSU rRNA". It matches the Rfam family "Bacterial large subunit ribosomal RNA", at positions 3 to 647 of the family's 2925-position model. Lineage: Bacteria; Bacillati; Bacillota; Bacilli; Caryophanales; Staphylococcaceae. The record is from RNAcentral.